RNAcentral lists this transfer RNA (74 nucleotides) under Bacteroidota bacterium. RNAcentral describes it as "Bacteroidetes bacterium tRNA-Glu". It matches the Rfam family "tRNA". Rfam says of the family: Transfer RNA (tRNA) molecules are approximately 80 nucleotides in length. Their secondary structure includes four short double-helical elements and three loops (D, anti-codon, and T loops). Further hydrogen bonds mediate the characteristic L-shaped molecular structure. tRNAs have two regions of fundamental functional importance: the anti-codon, which is responsible for specific mRNA codon recognition, and the 3' end, to which the tRNAs corresponding amino acid is attached (by aminoacyl-tRNA synthetases). tRNAs cope with the degeneracy of the genetic code in two manners: having more than one tRNA (with a specific anti-codon) for a particular amino acid; and 'wobble' base-pairing, i.e. permitting non-standard base-pairing at the 3rd anti-codon position. Lineage: Bacteria; Pseudomonadati; Bacteroidota. RNAcentral also lists the same sequence under 1 other name. The record is from RNAcentral.
GGUCCGUUCGUCUAGUCUGGUCAGGACGCCAGGUUUUCAUCCUGGUAACAGGGGUUCGAAUCCCCUACGGACUA